RNAcentral lists this ribosomal RNA (867 nucleotides) under uncultured archaeon. RNAcentral's name for it is "bacterial SSU rRNA". It matches the Rfam family "Archaeal small subunit ribosomal RNA", at positions 1 to 878 of the family's 1478-position model. The record is from RNAcentral.
CUCCGGGUGAUCCUGCCGGACCCGACUGCUAUCAGAGUGGGACUAAGCCAUGCGAGUCAACAUAGCAAUAUGUGGCAUACGGCUCAGUAACACGUAGUCAACAUGCCCAGGGGACGUGGAUAACCUCGGGAAACUGAGGAUAAACCGCGAUAGGUCAUCACUUCUGGAAUGGGUAAUGACUUAAAUCUAUAUGGCCCCUGGAUUGGACUGCGGCCGAUCAGGCUGUUGGUGAGGUAAUGGCCCACCAAACCUGUAACCGGUACGGGCUCUGAGAGGAGGAGCCCGGAGAUGGGCACUGAGACAAGGGCCCAGGCCCUAUGGGGCGCAGCAGGCGCGAAACCUCUGCAAUAGGCGAAAGCUUGACAGGGUUACUCUGAGUGAUUUCCGUUAAGGAGAUCUUUUGGCACCUCUAAAAAUGGUGCAGAAUAAGGGGUGGGCAAGUCUGGUGUCAGCCGCCGCGGUAAUACCAGCACCCCGAGUGGUCGGGACGUUUAUUGGGCCUAAAGCAUCCGUAGCCGGUUCUACAAGUCUUCCGUUAAAUCCACCUGCUUAACAGAUGGGCUGCGGAAGAUACUAUAGAGCUAGGAGGCGGGAGAGGCAAGCGGUACUCGAUGGGUAGGGGUAAAAUCCGUUGAUCCAUUGAAGACCACCAGUGGCGAAGGCGGCUUGCCAGAACGCGCUCGACGGUGAGGGAUGAAAGCUGGGGGAGCAAACCGGAUUAGAUACCCGGGUAGUCCCAGCUGUAAACGAUGCAGACUCGGUGAUGAGUUGGCUUAUUGCUAACUCAGUGCCGCAGGGAAGCCGUUAAGUUUGCCGCCUGGGGAGUACGGUCGCAAGACUGAAACUUAAAGGAUUGGCGGGGGAGCA